UACAGAGAGUGCAAACGUUGUUCGGAAUUACUGGGCGUAAAGGGCUCGUAGGCGGCCAACUAAGUCAUACGUGAAAUCCCUCGGCUUAACCGGGGAACUGCGUCUGAUACUGGAUGGCUUGAGUUCGGGAGAGGGAUGCGGAAUUCCAGGUGUAGCGGUGAAAUGCGUAGAUAUCUGGAGGAACACCGGUGGCGAAGGCGGCAUCCUGGACCGAUACUGACGCUGAGGAGCGAAAGCCAGGGGAGCAAACGGG
RNAcentral lists this ribosomal RNA (253 nucleotides) under uncultured bacterium. RNAcentral's name for it is "partial 16S ribosomal RNA". It matches the Rfam family "Bacterial small subunit ribosomal RNA", at positions 524 to 776 of the family's 1533-position model. The record is from RNAcentral.